This is a long non-coding RNA of Ornithodoros turicata, 889 nucleotides long. RefSeq lists it as uncharacterized. NCBI's taxonomy places the organism in Eukaryota, Metazoa, Arthropoda, Arachnida, Ixodida, Argasidae. The transcript has 2 exons. The record is from RefSeq and is a predicted model, not a curated record.
AGGAACAUUGUCGUCUUGACGAUAGUGCUGCCCUGAGUUCUGCGCGCGUUGAUUUGUUGAGUGCCUAGUCCUCUUAUUAGCCGUUGAUGGAGUUACAUGUUAGGAUGUUUUGUUCUUUUGCAAGUCUCAUUUAGUAAGACUUUGGAAUUCCUACGAUCAGUUUUCAUGCAUGGUGCUCUUCUGCAAUAGUUUCCUAUGCAAUCGUUAUAGAAGAAUAAAGCAAAUAAUCUUGGGAUAGUGAUUCAAUAAAUAAUAGGUCCCCUGUCUAGAGCGCACGCGUCCUUGAGCCACGCAGGUGCAUGAUGACGUCAUACCGUGGCUUCACUGCAGAUUGACCAAAGGAGCAUUAGUGGAAAAAAACAGUGUAGCCCUGAGACAAUAGGAUGAUGUCUGGACCAAUGAGAACUGCCAGCAGGGGGCGCAGGAAUGCUCUUCUCACUUAGCCUCACGACCAAUGAGAACGGCCAGCAGGGGGCGCAGGAAUGCUCUUCUCUCUUAGCCUCUCGCAGGUGGCGGUAGGAGCGCGCAGAGAGCGCUACGAGCGCGCGCAUGCGUAGCACCCGUAGAGUGGCGCUUACGUCAGUCCACCUCUGGCUCUCGUUGGGAGAAGACGUGCGGUCGUUCGCUCCGUCGUCACUUGAUCCCUGGCUGUCGACGAGAGCAGUCGCAUCGGUCUGCGCUCCUACUGUGAGCUGUCCUAACUUGCCCAGACAUGCCGUGAUGACGUCACAGCUGACGUCACAGGAUGUCCGGAACUGGUGGUCAUAGCUGCGAUGCUUUGCAACCUGCCUCUGUGCUCCGUCGCCCAGCGACGGUCAGCGGCCUUUCCGGACCGCUUUCUUCAAGAUGGCGCCGUUGAUCUUCAAUUAAACUCCUUCUCUCCACUCUA